CUGAAAUUCGCCUUCAUGAAGCUGGAAUUGCUAGUAAUGGCAGGUCAGCAUACUGCCGUGAAUACGUUCCCGGGCCUUGUACACACCGCCCGUCACACCAUGAGAGUUGGAAAUACCCGAAGCCUGUGAGCUAACUUUUAGAGGCAGGCAGUCGAAGGUAGAGCCAAUGAUUGGGGUGAAGUCGUAACAAGGUAAC
RNAcentral lists this ribosomal RNA (196 nucleotides) under uncultured bacterium. RNAcentral's name for it is "partial 16S ribosomal RNA". It matches the Rfam family "Bacterial small subunit ribosomal RNA", at positions 1305 to 1500 of the family's 1533-position model. The record is from RNAcentral.